CACACACAACCUGCAUAACAUAAUCACUAUUUCAUUUUUUCUCCAUUUCUUUGUGUCAUUAUUCUGUUAAAUGGGUUUUAGCACAGGAGGCAGAUAAUUAUCUGUACAGGAGUAGUCCAUACAUCAGGACAUCCUACAUUCUUCAGCUUUGAAUGUGGCAUUUUACUGUACACACUGUUCAUUAAAACAUCUUGGUAGCAUUACUCUUGGGAGGAGCCAGCCAUAAACAGACACAAAGGCCAUUCAGAGCAACUCUUGCAUAAAUAGAACAGUCAAAAUGACAGUAUGUUUACAGCCAU
Molecule: long non-coding RNA, 299 nt
Organism: Etheostoma spectabile (orangethroat darter)
Lineage: Eukaryota; Metazoa; Chordata; Actinopteri; Perciformes; Percidae
Exons: 2
Source: RefSeq, a predicted model, not a curated record